RNAcentral lists this transfer RNA (53 nucleotides) under Deroceras reticulatum. RNAcentral's name for it is "tRNA-Ser". The record is from RNAcentral. Lineage: Eukaryota; Metazoa; Mollusca; Gastropoda; Stylommatophora; Agriolimacidae.
UUUUUAAUUUAUAUUGAUUUUGAAAAUCUUUAAUGGUGAUACACCUUAAAGUG